Callorhinchus milii (elephant shark) is the source of this 69-nucleotide non-coding RNA. The record is from Ensembl. Lineage: Eukaryota; Metazoa; Chordata; Chondrichthyes; Chimaeriformes; Callorhinchidae.
GAGGUUUUAACUUAAUUAAAGUAUCUGGGUUGCAUUCAGAAUAUAUAGGAUAAAGUCCUAUAAAUCUUA